RNAcentral lists this ribosomal RNA (235 nucleotides) under uncultured Actinomycetales bacterium. RNAcentral describes it as "partial 16S ribosomal RNA". It matches the Rfam family "Bacterial small subunit ribosomal RNA", at positions 96 to 334 of the family's 1533-position model. The record is from RNAcentral. Lineage: Bacteria; Bacillati; Actinomycetota; Actinomycetes; Actinomycetales.
UGGCGAACGGGUGAGUAACACGUGGGUGAUCUGCCCUGCACUUCGGGAUAAGCUUGGGAAACUGGGUCUAAUACCGGAUAGGACCAUCGUUUAGUGUCGGUGGUGGAAAGUUUUUUCGGUGUGGGAUGAGCUCGCGGCAUAUCAGCUUGUUGGUGGGGUAAUGGCCUACCAAGGCGUCGACGGGUAGCCGGCCUGAGAGGGUGUACGGCCACAUUGGGACUGAGAUACGGCCCAG